Oryza sativa Japonica Group (Japanese rice) is the source of this 1489-nucleotide long non-coding RNA. RefSeq lists it as uncharacterized. The record is from RefSeq and is a predicted model, not a curated record. NCBI's taxonomy places the organism in Eukaryota, Viridiplantae, Streptophyta, Magnoliopsida, Poales, Poaceae.
GAGUGAGACGCGCGGCGUUUUCAUGCGAGUAACAUCGAACAAUCCCGCGAGGCGGCGGUGGGCGGCGGAGGCUCACUUCACUUCCUCCUCUCGCCGCCGAUCGAGAGGCGCUCGAAGCACCGGAUAGCGGUGCCCCCCUUCGCUGCCGGCGGCGACCUGUCGUCCGCGGCGGCCGAGUGGUGGUGGUGGUGGUGGUGCCGCUGGGCGGCGGCGGGGGACGGGCGGUUGCUGCCGCUGCCGCUCGACACCCACCGGCCGGCCCGGUUCUGCUCGCCGCCGUCGCCUUUCGAGGAUGUCCCCCGGCUAGACGGGGUGGCGGCGGCGGCGGCGGUGGGCAUCUUCGCCGAGCUCCUGUUCCUGGAUAUGGUUCGUGUUCUCUCCGAAUCAACAACCUGAUUCACACGAAACAAAGUGAUGAACCAAAGGAAUCCGCGAGGCUUUUGUGCCUGGAAUUGUCUCCGAGGCGACCGGAACCCGGGUUUCUUCUGGCGAAGGCCUCAACAGCACCGGGAACGACAGUAGUGGAAAUAUGAGGUGAACUCUGAUGGAUAAGAUUUGCACAGAACCUGGUGAAAACAAUUUUAGUGCAUAUGCAUCUAGGAGUUGCCAAUAAUAGAAUGACGAACUUCGUGAUGGCAAGCAUCAGUACCUCUGCUGGGGGAUUCAGAGCAAAGCCCCUAUGUUGACGAAGUGAAUGCCAGUUGCUACGUGUUGGUAACAUAUGUGUUUGGGCUCAGAGCAAAGCCUCUAUGUCGACGGUGCGCUCAGGCUUCUUGGCAUGUCAGGCUCUGUACUCCUGGUACUUCCUUCGUCGUUUUCAGCUGGUGCUGGUGCUGGUGCUGGUUGCUCCUCUGCGUCGGGUGAAGAAUCUAUGGCAUCAACAGAAAGAAAAAAAAGAGGAGAAGAUAUCAAAUCAAAUGUGCCUUCUAAUUGAAGAAGAACACAACACUGCCAAGGCUCUUGAGGGAAUACCAAAGAGGGAUUUGGCGCUUGGUCUCUUAGCCUUCUCCUUCUUCUUCAACUCAGCUGUGUAGAAAGUAAAAGAGUAUUAAAGACUAGAACAUAUAUUGCAACUCAAUCAUGUGCCUCAAAUAGUUGGCCUUGUAUAGAAUUAUAGCUCCAAAUAGGAUGGAAGAAACAUAAUGCAGUUCUGGAAGAGACAUGCUCUAUGUCAUUAGGUUUGCACUGGUACUAUGAUAUUCUCGAGAAAGAAACAUGGUUACUUAUUGAGAAGAUGGGGAGUAGAGUACCCAUUCCAAGUACUUCAGGAUCAUUCACAAGUUCGAAGUUCUUGUACGUGUAGCCCACAAAAUUCAAAUCCUUUGAAGACAGCAUCUGCAAAAGACACAAUGGUGCUCCAGCUGUUCUUGCUGCGUGCGUUUGGGCAUAGAUUGCUGUCUCCCAUCACCAUUUGUUGACUGUGGUUUUGUAGACGUAACAUCCUUCUCAUUCAGGUCUGGGAAGUUGGAAUAAUCUAGUGGUUUGCAUA